CAGUAGCCGCGGUAAUACGUAGGUGGCAAGCGUUGUCCGGAAUUAUUGGGCGUAAAGGGCUCGCAGGCGGUUUCUUAAGUCUGAUGUGAAAGCCCCCGGCUCAACCGGGGAGGGUCAUUGGAAGCCGGGAAACUUGAGUGCAGAAGAGGAGAGUGGAAUUCCACGUGUAGCGGUGAAAUGCGUAGAGAUGUGGAGGAACACCAGUGGCGAAGGCGACUCUCUGGUCUGUAACUGACGCUGAGGAGCGAAAGCGUGGGGAGCGAACAGGAUUAGAUACCCGUGUAGUCCCUGUCUCUUAUAA
Molecule: ribosomal RNA, 301 nt
Filed under: uncultured bacterium
Lineage: Bacteria
Description: partial 16S ribosomal RNA
Rfam family: Bacterial small subunit ribosomal RNA
Source: RNAcentral